ACAGUAAAUCAUAUAAAAUAUUAAUCAGACUCCCUCAAAAAGUAUCCUUAUAGGUAGGGUUGAAUGCUCUCUAAAAUUAUGUCUUUUGAAUUGCGCUUUUUAUUGGCAAUUUAAAUUCCAACAAAUACAAUGUUUAAGUAUCUCAGUAAAUUUCACUCCGAAGCAAUCAAAGUGGUAUGCUGCUACUGGUGAUGAGAAUCACUGUGAAGAGAACCUAAGACUCAACAUGUUUUUGCAAGUUAGUCAAAGCUCUGUGUGGGAAGAAGCCACAGAAAUUUAUUCAAGCUCCUACUUUAGUUUAGAGCACAAGUGUGAGUUACACCAGGAAGUGAAAUUCGGUCUGGAUAGAGAAUAUUGGCAUCUAUCUCACAGAAUAAUAGAGAGGAGAUUUAAGAAUUUUGAAAAUAUGCUUCUGGAAGACAGAUAUACAGGUGUUUCCAAGCAAAGAUGUGCUUUUCUUACAAUAAUCUCUUUCAGAAGUGUGCUGAGGAAGAUGGUAACAUGAUGACAUAUCCUAGACAAAUCUUCAACUUCUUUGCCUUUUGCUUCUCCCUUAGUGACUGGACAUUUCAUCUAGAGUUCUCUUGGUUCCAAAGACACUGAAUCAUCUUGCUGAGUGGAAACUGAGAACAUUGAGUUUCAAAGGACUGGAAAAAUUAAAAAAAAAACAAAACCAAAACCAAAACCAAAACCAAAAACAAAAACAAAAACUGGAACCACUUAAAGAUGAGGAUAGAAGAGCACUAAUUCAAACAUCUAAAGGGAAAAUGAGAGAGACUGUUUAUGGAGAAAUCACAUGGCAGAAUUUCUGUCUUGCACUUCCCUUAACAUUUGGAGUCCAGGCAAUCAGACAGCACUGAAGAUAAGAUGCUCCUCAGUUUUUCCAAAAUGAAAGAAGAAACAGAGAGACUGAUUGUGUGAAACAGAAGUCCGUACCAGUCCCUUUGGCAAUCUUGAUGGAUUUUUUAGCUUGUUCCUCUGGCUAUGUAGAACGCGUAUGAAGUAUAUAUUAAAAUAUUCAUACACUGGGCAAUAACCACCUUUCAAGACUGAUGUGAGAUUGACUCAGAAACACACAGCUCUUGGGGCUUGAUUCAUGUUUCCUUAAUGUUUGCUGUUGGCAAGACUGCUCCCAUUGAUAAAUUCUCAAAACAAACUUGUGAGCCAAGAUUGCUUUUCCCUCUAUGACUGAUAUUUUCCUACCCACAAACUUUGGUAAUUUUACUUAAUAGGUAAAUUUUAUUCAUCCCUUCUAGCACUAAUUCUCUUUGAAAGAAAGGGAAUGCAUAAUUUACUCUGAUAUAUUUGUCUUGCUAAAUUCCAUCUUGUAUAAAAUGCAUGUCAAAGAAUGUUUCUCAGAUAUCAGUAUCACUUCAUAUACUACUAUAAAUGCUAUCUGUUUUGCAUAAAAGUAAUAAUAAAUGACGAUGCAAUCAGCACGUAAGCUCCUAAAAAUCUGUUGAUUACUUGAAAAAAAUUCUCAAUCUCUGAAACAUAGAUCAGAUUAAUUUUUUACUUCAAGUUUAGGAAUCUGUGACAUGAACAUUAACAUGGAGGUGUUAGCAAGGAUAAAAGAGGAGCUGAAUAUUUAUGGCAAUAUUUACACUACGAUAACAGAGAUGAGAAAUAACUUUCAGAAGGAACACAAAGCCAAAAUUACAGGGUUUAAUUUUGGUGUUACGCUACGUAUCUUCAGUUCUCCUACGUGUGACAACACCAGGGCUUUCUGUGAGGUAAGCCCUUGCGGGAGUCCCACUGAAUGUACCCCAUUACAACAACUAGCUAUGACUUACAGCUGGAAUUUCGGAUUUGCACCUGAGAAAGUCUGUAGCAAAACAAACUACUUUAACAAUACUUACUACCACACAGCAUGACUCUUUUCGUGUGUUUUCAAAUUGCCAAGUAAAUAAAUAUAUCCUGAAACAUGUAAAUAUGAAAGGAGCUGUAUAUAUAUAUGUUAUAUUAAGUUGUAAGUUAUAGACAGAAUGAAAUUAGAUGAAAUUUUCAUGUUUGCUUCCUCCUUGCACCCCUAACUAUGUUGAGGUUUGUAGAAGCAUCAGAGAGUCCAGAGGAGGACUCUGCUUCAGGUUCUGAAAAUCAAGGGGGAAAAGUAAACAGAGAAAGCAAAAGUACAGAACAAUCAAACUGGUCUGCAAGCUGAAACCAUCUCCCAGGCCCGCACUGAACCCUUCACCAGCUCAGUUGUGGUGAACUAUGGUGAAUGUUUUGCUCUAUGCACGGAUUAUUUCCUCAUAUCUUCUGGGUUUUUUUUCUCAGUGCUCUGUGCGGAAGCCUUGACACACAUUCCAUAGCUAAUUUCAUUGCAAAAUAAAGAAAUUUUGAGUUUAUCAAAAGGGUGUGAAACACAAGGCACAGAAUAUUUUAAAUAUUCUGUAUUAAAAAUCCUCAUAAUUUGUCAUGUAUUGAAUUUUUUAAGCCUUCAUCCUUUGUUCAGUAGUCUCAAACUAAAGGUAUUGAAGGCCUGGGACUAUGACUCUGCUACCUGGCCAUUCUGCCUGUAACUUUCGUGUCAUUUUGUAUCCCUGUCUCCAUCUAGGGCUUAGGAAUUUAUAGAAAUGCCUCUUCAAGGAAUUCCUGUUAAAAGAGCCUUAUUGCUAUUUAAAAAACAUCUUGUUGCAGACUUGUCCCUUUUUCAAUUCGAUCUCUAGUUUCCCCUAAAAACAAAACAUAUUGCAAAAUGUAACCGCAAAGAAAAAUCAGCAUGUAAUUUCUAAUAGUAGGUAUUCCCUGAACGUCUACAUAACUCAUAAAUCAAUAAGAAUAUCAGAUUUGCUGCACUGUUUACUUCCUUCAUUCUUUUAACAGUUUUUGGUAUUUUUUAGUGUUUCUUCAGAAGUAAUAGUUCUUAAUUAUUCUAUGUUACUAAAGUGACUGAAGCAAAGAAUUACAGAUUUCCAAAUCAGACAUUCCAGAUUUACAGUGUGUUUUGGACAUAAAAUAAACCCCAUAUUGCAUGGGUCUUUCAUUUAAUCUCCUGGAUGCCAUUUUAACGCUGUUCAGUGGUACACUGUCCUGUACACUUUUCCUCCUAAGACCACUUGAUUUUCUGAUUCUGGAACAGCCAAACACAUAGCUCUUACAUGUUUCAUUAGCAUGGGAAAAUUCACUAGUCAGUGGCUACUGAAAGAGAACUCCUCAAAUUCAGUCCUCAUCCAUUGAUUUGCACAGCUAUUAGGUCUUGGUUUUGAUUUGCACUCCUUCUUGUGGGAAGAUGUCUGAUGUGUGUGUAGGCCCUGGAUUGAAUUAGAGAUUAAAAAAACCUAUGCAAAUUGUAAAAAAAAAAAAACUACUUUAACAAAUGCUAAUCUUAAUUAUGUUUACUUAAAAUCUCUUCUUCAAUCUUGCCUUGCAGUUUAACUUGACCAUUUCACUGUCAUUUGUUUACUCCUCUGGAAUAUUUUUUUUAUCAUAACUAGUAUAUUUUAACAGCAUAGGGGGACAAAGGAAGAGACAACUGAGUACAUCUCAAGACUGGAAUGAGAACUAAUUUGUCUUAGAAAUGGUACUCUAGUUCUGCUGCAUUUGUUCUUAAAGAAUUUUUAGAUGAUUUCUCUAAAUAGUUCUAGUCAGAGAAAAACUUCCUUACUCAACAACAUGUUUAAGAGAAUGUUUGCUAACAAGUCUUCCAGAAGACUCUUACUGUGUAGAAGCACAGAUGAUAUAAGAGCA
Long non-coding RNA from Columba livia (rock pigeon), 3690 nucleotides. RefSeq lists it as uncharacterized. The transcript is spliced from 3 exons. Lineage: Eukaryota; Metazoa; Chordata; Aves; Columbiformes; Columbidae. The record is from RefSeq and is a predicted model, not a curated record.